GUAUUUAAUUUAAAGAGCACAGAGGCUCAAUUGACAAUGUUCAGAUACAUUCUAUUGGUGUAUAUAUAAAAGAACAUAGAUCUAGAAACACAAGAAAAGCUGGCUUUAAUCGGUACAGCAAUUCUCAACUCAAGUAGGUUAUUACUUGAAGGUUGUUUCAAGUUCUACACAGGUGCACAGGGGGUUAGAAAUAAUAGAUUGGGUGUGCACAUGCUCCGAGUUGGAAGCCAGCAACAACCCAAUCAAUUUCGUUCAAUAAUGAUCCUUCCGCAGGUUCACCUACGGAAA
This 288-nucleotide unclassified non-coding RNA is filed under the name uncultured fungus. RNAcentral describes it as "sequence contains ITS1". The record is from RNAcentral. Lineage: Eukaryota; Fungi.